This 223-nucleotide ribosomal RNA is filed under the name uncultured bacterium. RNAcentral's name for it is "partial 16S ribosomal RNA". It matches the Rfam family "Bacterial small subunit ribosomal RNA", at positions 524 to 746 of the family's 1533-position model. The record is from RNAcentral.
UACGUAGGCAGCUAGCGUUGUUCGUAAUUACUGGGCGUAAAGCGAGUGUAGGCGGUUUGCCAAGUCCGUUGUGAAAUCUCCCGGCUCAACUGGGAGGGUGCGCCGGAAACUGGCAAGCUAGAGUGCGGUAUGGGAGAGUGGAAUUCCUGGUGUAGCGGUGAAAUGCGUAGAUAUCAGGAGGAACACCGGUGGUGAAGACGGCUCUCUGGACCGUGACUGACGC